UGGGAUUACAGGCAGGGAUGUGUUGCCACC
Molecule: non-coding RNA, 30 nt
Filed under: Rattus norvegicus (Norway rat)
Lineage: Eukaryota; Metazoa; Chordata; Mammalia; Rodentia; Muridae
Source: RNAcentral